GCUAAACGCGAAGAACCUUACCAGGCCUUGACAUCCACGGAACCCCUCAGAGACGAGGGGGUGCCCUUCGGGGGACUUCCACAGGUGCUGCAUGGCCGUCGUCAGCUCGUGUCGUGAGAUGUUGGGUUAAGUCCCGCAACGAGCGCAACCCUUGUGAACAGUUGCCAGCGCGUCAUGGCGGGAACUCUGUUCAGACUGCCCAGAUCAACUGGGAGGAAGGUGGGGACGACGUCAGGUCAGUAUGGCCCUUACGCCUUGGGCUGCACACGUACUACAAUGCCCAGCACAAUGAGAACCGAUGCCGCGAGGUGGAGGAAAUCUGCAAAAACUGGGCUCAGUUCGGAUUGGAGGCUGCAACUCGCCUCCAUGAAGUUGGAAUCGCUAGUAAUGGGGCAUCAUCUACGGCCCCGUGAAUACGUUCCCGGGUCUUGUACACACCG
RNAcentral lists this ribosomal RNA (440 nucleotides) under uncultured bacterium. RNAcentral describes it as "bacterial SSU rRNA". It matches the Rfam family "Bacterial small subunit ribosomal RNA", at positions 954 to 1392 of the family's 1533-position model. The record is from RNAcentral.